This 523-nucleotide ribosomal RNA is filed under the name uncultured bacterium. RNAcentral describes it as "bacterial SSU rRNA". It matches the Rfam family "Bacterial small subunit ribosomal RNA", at positions 358 to 874 of the family's 1533-position model. The record is from RNAcentral.
GGAAUUUUGGACAAUGGGCGAAAGCCUGAUCCAGCCAUGCCGCGUGCGGGAAGAAGGCCUUCGGGUUGUAAACCGCUUUUGUCAGGGAAGAAAUCUCUCGAGCUAAUACCUUGGGAGGAUGACGGUACCUGAAGAAUAAGCACCGGCUAACUACGUGCCAGCAGCCGCGGUAAUACGUAGGGUGCAAGCGUUAAUCGGAAUUACUGGGCGUAAAGCGUGCGCAGGCGGUUAUGCAAGACAGAUGUGAAAUCCCCGGGCUUAACCUGGGAACUGCAUUUGUGACUGCAUAGCUGGAGUACGGUAGAGGGGGAUGGAAUUCCGCGUGUAGCAGUGAAAUGCGUAGAUAUGCGGAGGAACACCGAUGGCGAAGGCAGUCCCCUGGACCUGUACUGACGCUCAUGCACGAAAGCGUGGGGAGCAAACAGGAUUAGAUACCCUGGUAGUCCACGCCCUAAACGAUGUCAACUGGUUGUUGGGAAGGUUUCUUCUCAGUAACGUAGCUAACGCGUGAAGUUGACCGCCU